This 252-nucleotide ribosomal RNA is filed under the name uncultured bacterium. RNAcentral describes it as "partial 16S ribosomal RNA". It matches the Rfam family "Bacterial small subunit ribosomal RNA", at positions 524 to 775 of the family's 1533-position model. The record is from RNAcentral.
GACAGAGGUGCCGAGCGUUAGGCGGAAUCACUGGGCUUAAAGCGUGUGUAGGCGGACCGUUAAGUGUCUUGUGAAAUCCCACGGCUCAACCGUGGAACGGCUGGGCAUACUGGCGGUCUUUGAGAGGCCUAGGGGCGAGCGGAACAGGCGGUGGAGCGGUGAAAUGCGUAGAUAUCGCCUGGAACGCCGACGGUGAAACAGCUCGCUGGGGGCCUUCUGACGCUGAGACACGAAAGCCAGGGGAGCGAACGG